This 480-nucleotide long non-coding RNA is filed under the name Rosa chinensis. Its description in RNAcentral is "sRNA RchiOBHm_Chr4g0388451". Lineage: Eukaryota; Viridiplantae; Streptophyta; Magnoliopsida; Rosales; Rosaceae. The record is from RNAcentral.
UCUAAAUACAAUACACCCCCCAUAGUAAAUAGAUGCUAAAUCCCUCAGUCAAUCUUCAGUCUCUCUCUCGAGAACUUCUCUUCAGCCACUCUCUCUCUUCUCUCGCCCUCUCAUUCUUAUCUUCGUCAAUCCUUUCAAUUUUCUCAUCGCCAUAGAAAAUUCGAGAUCCCCAAGGACUAGAUCGAUCAAGCUCACGAGGCUAAGGUCUCGGUUGGGUCAUGAAGACCAAAUCGAUGGCCAGGGAUCUGAGCGGGAUAGUGAAGGAGAUUCUCUUGGUCGAAGGCAAGGAUCUGUAGGAUUUUCAUCGUAGAUUAUCCAAGAGAUUACCGACGGCGAUGUUGAGGUGCUGUACCAAUCUUUAUAUUCGUCAGUGAUACAUCUUCUGCACCUUGGUAUCUCAAUGUCGAAAGACCUCUUGAAACAUCAAAGGAAAUGGAAAUCAGAUCCAGAUUGCUGUUGAAACUGAUGAUGGUUGGAAAA